Molecule: ribosomal RNA, 492 nt
Filed under: uncultured bacterium
Lineage: Bacteria
Description: partial 16S ribosomal RNA
Rfam family: Bacterial small subunit ribosomal RNA
Source: RNAcentral
AGUGAACGCUGGCGGUAGGCCUAACACAUGCAAGUCGAACGGCAGCACAGUAAGAGCUUGCUCUUACGGGUGGCGAGUGGCGGACGGGUGAGGAAUACAUCGGAAUCUACUUUUUCGUGGGGGAUAACGUAGGGAAACUUACGCUAAUACCGCAUACGACCUACGGGUGAAAGCAGGGGAUCUUCGGACCUUGCGCGAUUGAAUGAGCCGAUGUCGGAUUAGCUAGUUGGCGGGGUAAAGGCCCACCAAGGCGACGAUCCGUAGCUGGUCUGAGAGGAUGAACAGCCACACUGGAACUGAGACACGGUCCAGGCUCCUACGGGAGGCAGCAGUGGGGAAUAUUGGAAAAUGGGCGCAAGCCUGAUCCAGCCAUACCGCGUGGGUGAAGAAGGCCUUCGGGUUGUAAAGCCCUUUUGUUGGGAAAGAAAAGCAGCAGGUUAAUACCCCGCUGUUCUGACGGUACCCAAAGAAUAAGCACCGGCUAACUUCGUG